CGUAUUUUACUCCUCCAUUAUCUUUGCUUGAUUUUUAGCAAUUCUGUAUGUUCUACUUUUUACUGCAUUUGUUUGUAUAGAAAUCUUUAGGAUGCCAUUUCAUGCACAUUUUGUUAAAAAAAAAAAAAAAAACCUAAAUUAGACUUGCAUUUUUUAGCCUGCCUAGUAUUUGCUAAGUUUGUACCUCGGUUUACCUUGUAAAUUGUUGUAUGCAGUAAAAUUGGUAAACUGUUAGGUUUUAACAUUGUUGCCUUUCUUCUUCUGGGUCAUAGGCAUAGUAUAUUCACUAAGCUGUUUCAAAAUCUUAUCUUGUGCAGACAAACCGCACAACAGCAAGGAUUUUCCCUGCUGUCCUUGACGUUGAGAACCCAGAAUUCAAGAGAAAGUUGGACAGGAUGGUGGAGAUUAACCAAAAAAUACUUGCUGUUGGGGAGACUGAUGACAUUCCACUGGUGAAGAAUUUCAAAAGGAUCCCUCUGAUUGCAGCUCUGGCUUCUGAGUUAUUGGCCGCAUAUCUCAUGAAACCCAUUGAGUCAGGUUCAGUUGAUUUUGCAGAGUUUGAACCACAACUCGUCUACUAAUUUCCUUUUCCCUCGUGACUUUGUGAAAAAACAGAAAUCAGCUCUUUUCACAUAGAGGUGCAUGUUCAUUGUUGUAAGUUAUAUAGCGUAUUUAAGAAACACUUUCCUGCAUAGAGGACACUCCCUUGUAUUAUCUUGAUAAUCUAGAAUGAAUUUCUUGUGAGUACAUCAUUAUGUUUUCAUCUUGACUGGUCUCAGUUAUUAGU
Molecule: long non-coding RNA, 787 nt
Filed under: Nicotiana tabacum (common tobacco)
Lineage: Eukaryota; Viridiplantae; Streptophyta; Magnoliopsida; Solanales; Solanaceae
Description: long non-coding RNA (NTAB_LNC003546)
Source: RNAcentral